GUGCCAGCAGCCGCGGUAAUACGGAGGAUCCAAGCGUUAUCCGGAAUCAUUGGGUUUAAAGGGUCCGUAGGCGGGACAAUCAGUCAGCGGUGAAAGUCUGUGGCUCAACCAUAGAAUUGCCAUUGAUACUGUUGUUCUUGAAUACUUAUGAAGUGGUUGGAAUAUGUAGUGUAGCGGUGAAAUGCAUAGAUAUUACAUAGAACACCGAUUGCGAAGGCAGAUCACUAAUAAUUUAUUGACGCUGAUGGACGAAAGCGUAGGUAGCGAACAGGAUUAGAUACCCUGGUAGUCUACGCCGUAAACGAUGGUUACUAGCUGUUCGGUCGCAAGACUGAGUGGCUAAGCGAAAGUGAUAAGUAACCCACCUGGGGAGUACGUUCGCAAGAAUGAAACUCAAAGGAAUUGACGG
RNAcentral lists this ribosomal RNA (409 nucleotides) under Gillisia sp. RNAcentral's name for it is "bacterial SSU rRNA". It matches the Rfam family "Bacterial small subunit ribosomal RNA", at positions 505 to 916 of the family's 1533-position model. The record is from RNAcentral. Lineage: Bacteria; Pseudomonadati; Bacteroidota; Flavobacteriia; Flavobacteriales; Flavobacteriaceae.